AGUUUGAUCCUGGCUCAGGACGAACGCUGGCGACGUGCCUAACACAUGCAAGUCAAGGGGAAAGGGGUAGCAAUAUCCCGAGUACACUGGCGCACGGGCGAGUAACGCGUAGGCAACCUGCCUUCAGGACGGGGAUAAUUCAGCGAAAGCUGGACUAAUACCCGAUGACAUUCUGUUGCAGCAUUGUAACGGAAUCAAAAGCCCGCAAGGGUGCCCGGAGAUGGGCCUGCGUCCCAUUAGGUAGUUGGUGAGGUAACGGCUCACCAAGCCAACGAUGGGUAGCUGGUCUGAAAGGAUGGUCAGCCACACUGGAACUGAGACACGGUCCAGACUCCUACGGGAGGCAGCAGUGAGGAAUAUUGGUCAAUGGGCGAGAGCCUGAACCAGCCAUCCCGCGUGCAGGAAGAAUGCCCUAUGGGUUGUAAACUGCUUUUUCGCAUGAAGAACACCCCCGACGUGUCGGGGGCUGACGGUAAUGCGUGAAUAAGCACCGGCUAACUCCGUGCCAGCAGCCGCGGUAAUACGGAGGGUGCAAGCGUUAUCCGGAUUUAUUGGGUUUAAAGGGUGCGUAGGCGGCUAUUUAAGUCAGUGGUGAAGUCCUGCAGCUCAACUGUAGAACAGCCAUUGAAACUGAAUAGCUUGAGUGAUCUUGAGGUAGGCGGAAUGUGUAGUGUAGCGGUGAA
RNAcentral lists this ribosomal RNA (683 nucleotides) under uncultured bacterium. Its description in RNAcentral is "bacterial SSU rRNA". It matches the Rfam family "Bacterial small subunit ribosomal RNA", at positions 10 to 685 of the family's 1533-position model. The record is from RNAcentral.